This 447-nucleotide ribosomal RNA is filed under the name uncultured bacterium. Its description in RNAcentral is "partial 16S ribosomal RNA". It matches the Rfam family "Bacterial small subunit ribosomal RNA", at positions 29 to 523 of the family's 1533-position model. The record is from RNAcentral.
AACGAACGCUGGCGGCAGGCUUAGCACAUGCAAGUCGAGCGCCCCGCAAGGGGAGCGGCAGACGGGUGAGUAACGCGUGGGAAUCUACCCAUCACUACGGAACAACUCCGGGAAACUGGAGCUAAUACCGUAUACGUCCUUCGGGAGAAAGAUUUAUCGGUGAUGGAUGAGCCCGCGUUGGAUUAGCUAGUUGGUGGGGUAAUGGCCCACCAAGGCGACGAUCCAUAGCUGGUCUGAGAGGAUGAUCAGCCACACUGGGACUGAGACACGGCCCAGACUCCUACGGGGGGCAGCAGUGGGGAAUAUUGGACAAUGGGCGCAAGCCUGAUCCAGCCAUGCCGCGUGAGGGAUGAAGGCCCUAGGGUUGUAAAGCUCUUUCACCGGUGAAGAUAAUGACGGUAACUGGAGAAGAAGCCCCGGCUAACUUCGUGCCAGCCGCCGCAGUAA